CAAAGCGGAGGAAAAGAAACCAACAGGGAUUGCCUCAGUAACGGCGAGUGAAGCGGCAACAGCUCAAAUUUGAAAUCUGGCUCUUUCAGGGUCCGAGUUGUAAUUUGUAGAAGAUGCUUUGGGUGUAGCUCCGGUCUAAGUUCCUUGGAACAGGACGUCAUAGAGGGUGAGAAUCCCGUAUGUGACUGGGUGCUUUCGCUCGUGUAAAGCUCUUUCGACGAGUCGAGUUGUUUGGGAAUGCAGCUCAAAAUGGGUGGUAAAUUUCAUCUAAAGCUAAAUAUUGGCCAGAGACCGAUAGCGCACAAGUAGAGUGAUCGAAAGAUGAAAAGCACUUUGGAAAGAGAGUUAAACAGUACGUGAAAUUGUUGAAAGGGAAGCGCUUGCAACCAGACUUGCGCGCUGUUGAUCAUCCGAGCUUCUGCCCGGUGCACUCGACAGCGUUCAGGCCAGCAUCGGUUUUGGUGGGCGGAUAAAGGCCUUGGGAAUGUAGCUUCUUUCGGGGAGUGUUAUAGCCCUCGGUGCAAUGCGCCCUACCGGGACCGAGGACCGCGCUCGGCUAGGAUGCUGCGUAUGCCU
This 576-nucleotide ribosomal RNA is filed under the name Hyaloscypha sp. I12F-02290. Its description in RNAcentral is "eukaryotic LSU rRNA". It matches the Rfam family "Eukaryotic large subunit ribosomal RNA", at positions 46 to 639 of the family's 3401-position model. Lineage: Eukaryota; Fungi; Ascomycota; Leotiomycetes; Helotiales; Hyaloscyphaceae. The record is from RNAcentral.